UUUAUUUUUCUAAAUUUAUUUUUAAAUAGCCUUUUCUUUUAAAUUCACCAUAAAUUCAUUUUUGAUCCAAAAAUAAUGCGACCAACACAAAAAAUUCACAAAUAUUCAUUUUUGUCCGCCAGUAAAACAGAAACUCCAAAGAACAAGACCAAACAUGGGUUUGAAGAUUCGAGAAGAGGUCAAAAGACAGUUUGAUGUUGGC
RNAcentral lists this long non-coding RNA (202 nucleotides) under Lathyrus oleraceus (garden pea). Its description in RNAcentral is "Pisum sativum (pea) long non-coding RNA (PSAT_LNC029135)". Lineage: Eukaryota; Viridiplantae; Streptophyta; Magnoliopsida; Fabales; Fabaceae. The record is from RNAcentral.